GACGAACGCUGGCGGCGUGCCUAAUACAUGCAAGUAGAACGCUGAAGGAGGAGCUUGCUUCUCUGGAUGAGUUGCGAACGGGUGAGUAACGCGUAGGUAACCUGCCUGGUAGCGGGGGAUAACUAUUGGAAACGAUAGCUAAUACCGCAUAAUAGCAGUUGUUGCAUGACAACUGUUUGAAAGGUGCAAUUGCACCACUACCAGAUGGACCUGCGUUGUAUUAGCUAGUUGGUGGGGUAACGGCUCACCAAGGCGACGAUCCAUAGCCGACCUGAGAGGGUGAUCGGCCACACUGGGACUGAGACACGGCCCAGACUCCUACGGGAGGCAGCAGUAGGGAAUCUUCGGCAAUGGACGGAAGUCUGACCGAGCAACGCCGCGUGAGUGAAGAAGGGUUUCGGAUCGUAAAGCUCUGUUGUAAGAGAAGAACGAGUGUGAGAGUGGAAAGUUCACACUGUGACGGUAUCUUACCAGAAAGGGACGGCUAACUACGUG
RNAcentral lists this ribosomal RNA (495 nucleotides) under uncultured bacterium. Its description in RNAcentral is "partial 16S ribosomal RNA". It matches the Rfam family "Bacterial small subunit ribosomal RNA", at positions 28 to 507 of the family's 1533-position model. The record is from RNAcentral.